CCUACGGGGAGCAGCAGUGGGGAAUAUUGCGCAAUGGGCGAAAGCCUGACGCAGCGACGCCGCGUGAGGGAUGAAGGUCUUCGGAUCGUAAACCUCUGUCAGCAGGGAAGAACGGUCACUGUGCUAAUCAGCAGUGAAUUGACGGUACCUGCAAAGGAAGCACCGGCUAACUCCGUGCCAGCAGCCGCGGUAAUACGGGGGGUGCGAGCGUUAAUCGGAAUUACUGGGCGUAAAGCGCUCGUAGGCGGUAUGUCAAGUCAAGGGUGAAAUCCCCGCGCUCAACGUGGGAACUGCCUUUGAAACUGGCAAACUGGAGUGUGUGAGAGGAUAGUGGAAUUCCAGGUGUAGGGGUGAAAGCCGUAGAUAUCUGGAGGAACAUCAGUGGCGAAGGCGACUAUCUGGCACAUAACUGACGCUGAGGAGCGAAAGCGUGGGUAGCAAACAGGAUUAGAUACCCUAGUAGUC
Molecule: ribosomal RNA, 465 nt
Filed under: uncultured bacterium
Lineage: Bacteria
Description: partial 16S ribosomal RNA
Rfam family: Bacterial small subunit ribosomal RNA
Source: RNAcentral